RNAcentral lists this long non-coding RNA (584 nucleotides) under Sorghum bicolor (sorghum). Its description in RNAcentral is "long non-coding RNA (SBIC_LNC014358)". The record is from RNAcentral. Lineage: Eukaryota; Viridiplantae; Streptophyta; Magnoliopsida; Poales; Poaceae.
CCACCGUCGAUCAGACCUGUAAGUGUUCGACUUACGUAUUUUGGACUCCUCUUUGAUUUUUUUUUUUUUUGAAAUUACACUUUUGUUCCUGUAGUGCGGCGUCGGAUGUCGACCCCGGCCAGGCUGCCAGCCAGGGGACGGGCGAGCCAGUCCGCGCUGCUGAAGAUACGGCCCCCCAGACCACAGAGCAGCCUACCGCUGCAGUCGCGCUUGGGAGCACGGAGGGGCUCCCGACCGCGGCGCCGACUACAACAGGCAGCCCGACCAGGGCUGAAGAGGUUCCCCAGCCGGCGUCACAGAAGAGGAGGGAAGAUCCCCGACCGCGCCUCCUGCCGGGGGGAGUGAAGUCUCCACGCCACCCCGAGCAGGGAACUCUUCGACUGCAGGCUCCCCAGGUCUGGUCCGAGGAUCAGUACUACCUGGGACCACCACUGGGGGUGACGCAGCGCAGGAGGAAACCCGGGCGGCCUCCGAUGACGAGGUGGAAGAGAUCGAGGGUCGUCCCCGUGAUGGCCGCCAACACGUGUAUGUGUGGCGCCAACGCGGGGAUCACUUUAUCGGGCAUGAGGAGCUCGCUGAGACAG